UUAAGAUAGUAAGAGCAUACGGUGGAUGCCUUGGCGAUAUCUGCCGAUGAAGGACGCGACAAGCUGCGAAAAGCUGCGGUGAGGUGCAAAUGACCUUUGACCCGCAGAUGUCCGAAUGGAGCAAUCCGGCUGUGGUUAUGCACAGUCACCCAUGCCUGUGAGUAUGGGAGGGAACCAGGCGAACUGAAACAUCUAAGUAGCCUGAGGAGAAGUAAUCAAACGAGAUACCCCCAGUAGCGGCGAGCGAACGGGGCAGAAGCCCAAACCGCAGAAGGAAACUUUUACGGGGUUGAGGGCCGUCAUACGAACGUGGAAUCCAGCUGAAGCUUCUGGGAAGGAGCGCCGCAGGAUGUGAAAGCCAUGUAAGCGAAAGAGGAAGCGGAACAGACGGUACCAGAGUACCGCGGGACACGAGAAACCCCGUGGGAAGCAGGGGGGACCACCCUCCAAGGCAAAACACAGAUAUCGACCGAUAGCGCAUAGUACCAUGAGGGAAAGGUGAAAAGCACCCCGGGAGGGGAAUGAAACAGAACCUGAAACCGUAUGUUUACAAGCAGUCGGAGACCGUAUAUAUAUCAGGUCGACGGCGUGCCUAUUGAAGAAUGAACCGGCGAGUUAUGAGGUCCAGCGAGGUUAAGCAGGAAAUGCGGAGCCGAAGCGAAAGCGAGUCUUAACAGGGCGAGUAGUUGGACUGCAUAGACCCGAAACCACAGUGAUCUACCCAUGUCCAGGUUGAAGCACAGGUAAAAAUGUGUGGAGGACCGAACCUAUAUCCGUUGAAAAGGGUUAGGAUGAGGUGUGGGUAGGGGUGAAAUUCCAAUCGAACGUGGAGAUAGCUGGUUCUCCCCGAAAUAGCUUUAGGGCUAGCCUCAGGGUAAAGAUUGCAGGCGGUAGAGCACUGAUCAGGAGAGGGACCUACCCGGUUACCAAACCCAGUCAAACUACGAAUGGCUGCAAUUAUACCUGGGAGUCAGACUACGACUUAUAAGGGCCGUGGUCAAAAGGGAAACAGCCCAGAUCAUCAGCUAAGGUCCCAAAUGCCGUGCUAAGUGGCGAAGGAUGUGGCGUUUCAUAAACAACCAGGAUGUUGGCUCAGAAGCAGCCACCAUUUAAAGAGUGCGUAAUAGCUCACUGGUCGAGAGACGCUGCGCCGAAAAUGUCCGGGGCUCAAGCACGGAACCGAAGCUAUGGCAUUGCGUAAGCAAUGGGUAGGGGAGCGUUCUUAUGGGGAAGAAGCAUUACCGUAAGGAGAUGUGGACACAUAAGAAGUGAGAAUGCCGGUAUGAGUAUCGAAAAGAAAGGUGAGAAUCCUUUCCACCGAAAGCCCGAGGGUUCCUGAGCAACGAUCGUCGUCUCAGGGUAAGUCGGGACCUAAGCCGAGGCACAGACGCAUAGGCGAUGGACAACAGGUUGAAAUUCCUGUACCGGAUGGAGUCAUUUGAGCAAUGGAGUGACGCAGGAGGGCACAUGAUCGCGCGACUGGAAGAGCGCGUCCAAGUGCGUAUGUUGAAUCGGAGGCAAAUCCCCGAUUCUGAAAGCAGAGACAUGAUGGGGAGUUAUAAGCGAUUAUGACGAACUCAUGGAUCCCACACUGCCAAGAAAAACUUCUAGCGAGACGAAAUCCGCCCGUACCGUAAACCGACACAGGUAGGCGGGGAGAGAAUCCUAAGGUGCGCGGGAAAACCCUCGUUAAGGAACUCGGCAAAUUGCAUCCGUAACUUCGGGAGAAGGAUGGCCCUGAGUAGGCGAAGUGCAGAAACGCACGGAACAGAAAAGGGUGGCAGAAAAGAGGCCCAAGCAACUGUUUACCAAAAACACAGGUGCCUGCGAAAGCGAAAGCUGAAGUAUAGGUGCUGACGCCUGCCCGGUGCUGGAAGGUUAAGGAGAGAGGUUAGCGCAAGCGAAGCUUUGAACUGAAGCCCCAGUGAACGGCGGCCGUAACUAUAACGGUCCUAAGGUAGCGAAAUUCCUUGUCAGGUAAG
Molecule: ribosomal RNA, 1982 nt
Filed under: human gut metagenome
Description: bacterial LSU rRNA
Rfam family: Bacterial large subunit ribosomal RNA
Source: RNAcentral